GUGCCAGCAGCCGCGGUAAUACGUAGGCAGCGAGCGUUGUUCGGAGUUACUGGGCGUAAAGAGUGCGUAGGCGGUUCCGUAAGUUCGGUGUGAAAUCUCCCGGCUCAACUGGGAGGGUGCGCCGAAUACUGCGGCACUUGAGCGCGGGAGAGGAAAGCGGAAUUCCUGGUGUAGCGGUGAAAUGCGUAGAUAUCAGGAGGAACACCGGUGGUGAAGACGGCUUUCUGGACCGUUGCUGACGCUGAGGCACGAAGGCGUGGGUAGCAAACAGGAUUAGAUACCCUGGUAGUCCACGCCCUAAACGAUGCAUACUUGGUGUGGGCCGUUCAGUCGGCCCGUGCCGGAGCUAACGCGUUAAGUAUGCCGCCUGGGGAGUACGGUCGCAAGGCUGAAACUUAAAUGAAUUGGCGG
RNAcentral lists this ribosomal RNA (411 nucleotides) under uncultured bacterium. RNAcentral describes it as "bacterial SSU rRNA". It matches the Rfam family "Bacterial small subunit ribosomal RNA", at positions 505 to 916 of the family's 1533-position model. The record is from RNAcentral.